This 73-nucleotide transfer RNA is filed under the name Merops viridis (blue-throated bee-eater). RNAcentral's name for it is "tRNA-Pro". It matches the Rfam family "tRNA". From Rfam's summary of the family: Transfer RNA (tRNA) molecules are approximately 80 nucleotides in length. Their secondary structure includes four short double-helical elements and three loops (D, anti-codon, and T loops). Further hydrogen bonds mediate the characteristic L-shaped molecular structure. tRNAs have two regions of fundamental functional importance: the anti-codon, which is responsible for specific mRNA codon recognition, and the 3' end, to which the tRNAs corresponding amino acid is attached (by aminoacyl-tRNA synthetases). tRNAs cope with the degeneracy of the genetic code in two manners: having more than one tRNA (with a specific anti-codon) for a particular amino acid; and 'wobble' base-pairing, i.e. permitting non-standard base-pairing at the 3rd anti-codon position. The record is from RNAcentral. Lineage: Eukaryota; Metazoa; Chordata; Aves; Coraciiformes; Meropidae.
UCAGAGGGUAGUUUAAUAUAAGAUACCAGCUUUGGGAGUUGGUGAUGGGGGUUUAUGGUCCCCCCUCUCUGAU